AGUGAACGCUGGCGGUAGGCCUAACACAUGCAAGUCGAACGGCAGCACAGUAAGAGCUUGCUCUUACGGGUGGCGAGUGGCGGACGGGUGAGGAAUACAUCGGAAUCUACUUUUUCGUGGGGGAUAACGUAGGGAAACUUACGCAAUACCGCAUACGACCUACGGGUGAAAGCAGGGGAUCUUCGGACCUUGCGCGAUUGAAUGAGCCGAUGUCGGAUUAGCUAGUUGGCUGGGUAAAGGCCCACCAAGGCGACGAUCCGUAGCUGGUCUGAGAGGAUGAUCAGCCACACUGGAGCUGAGACACGGUCCAGACUCCUACGGGAGGCAGCAGUGGGGAAUAUUGGACAAUGGGCGCAAGCCUGAUCCAGCCAUACCGCGUGGGUGAAGAAGGCCUUCGGGUUGUAAAGCCCUUUUGUUGAGAAAGAAAAGCAGCAGGUUAAUACCCCGCUGUUCUGACGGUACCCAAAGAAUAAGCACCGGCUAACUUCGUG
Molecule: ribosomal RNA, 491 nt
Filed under: uncultured bacterium
Lineage: Bacteria
Description: partial 16S ribosomal RNA
Rfam family: Bacterial small subunit ribosomal RNA
Source: RNAcentral